RNAcentral lists this small RNA (162 nucleotides) under Cryptosporidium parvum. Lineage: Eukaryota; Apicomplexa; Conoidasida; Eucoccidiorida; Cryptosporidiidae. The record is from RNAcentral.
UAUACCCUAUUCAGGCGUUGCUUACGUUUUUUUAUCCAAUAAGAAUGUAAGUGUCAUAAUAGGGUUAGAAAAAUAAUAUCUUUUUGAUUCAGUGAGUUAAUUUUUUGCUUUAUGACUAAAACUAUUUAAUGUUUUAGCCAUCAUAUAAUCACAUACAUUCUU